RNAcentral lists this ribosomal RNA (1410 nucleotides) under Pediococcus pentosaceus. RNAcentral's name for it is "bacterial SSU rRNA". It matches the Rfam family "Bacterial small subunit ribosomal RNA", at positions 66 to 1436 of the family's 1533-position model. Lineage: Bacteria; Bacillati; Bacillota; Bacilli; Lactobacillales; Lactobacillaceae. The record is from RNAcentral.
ACUUCCGUUAAAUUGAUUAUGACGUACUUGUACUGAUUGAGAUUUUAACACGAAGUGAGUGGCGAACGGGUGAGUAACACGUGGGUAACCUGCCCAGAAGUAGGGGAUAACACCUGGAAACAGAUGCUAAUACCGUAUAACAGAGAAAACCGCAUGGUUUUCUUUUAAAAGAUGGCUCUGCUAUCACUUCUGGAUGGACCCGCGGCGUAUUAGCUAGUUGGUGAGGUAAAGGCUCACCAAGGCAGUGAUACGUAGCCGACCUGAGAGGGUAAUCGGCCACAUUGGGACUGAGACACGGCCCAGACUCCUACGGGAGGCAGCAGUAGGGAAUCUUCCACAAUGGACGCAAGUCUGAUGGAGCAACGCCGCGUGAGUGAAGAAGGGUUUCGGCUCGUAAAGCUCUGUUGUUAAAGAAGAACGUGGGUAAGAGUAACUGUUUACCCAGUGACGGUAUUUAACCAGAAAGCCACGGCUAACUACGUGCCAGCAGCCGCGGUAAUACGUAGGUGGCAAGCGUUAUCCGGAUUUAUUGGGCGUAAAGCGAGCGCAGGCGGUCUUUUAAGUCUAAUGUGAAAGCCUUCGGCUCAACCGAAGAAGUGCAUUGGAAACUGGGAGACUUGAGUGCAGAAGAGGACAGUGGAACUCCAUGUGUAGCGGUGAAAUGCGUAGAUAUAUGGAAGAACACCAGUGGCGAAGGCGGCUGUCUGGUCUGCAACUGACGCUGAGGCUCGAAAGCAUGGGUAGCGAACAGGAUUAGAUACCCUGGUAGUCCAUGCCGUAAACGAUGAUUACUAAGUGUUGGAGGGUUUCCGCCCUUCAGUGCUGCAGCUAACGCAUUAAGUAAUCCGCCUGGGGAGUACGACCGCAAGGUUGAAACUCAAAAGAAUUGACGGGGGCCCGCACAAGCGGUGGAGCAUGUGGUUUAAUUCGAAGCUACGCGAAGAACCUUACCAGGUCUUGACAUCUUCUGACAGUCUAAGAGAUUAGAGGUUCCCUUCGGGGACAGAAUGACAGGUGGUGCAUGGUUGUCGUCAGCUCGUGUCGUGAGAUGUUGGGUUAAGUCCCGCAACGAGCGCAACCCUUAUUACUAGUUGCCAGCAUUAAGUUGGGCACUCUAGUGAGACUGCCGGUGACAAACCGGAGGAAGGUGGGGACGACGUCAAAUCAUCAUGCCCCUUAUGACCUGGGCUACACACGUGCUACAAUGGAUGGUACAACGAGUCGCGAGACCGCGAGGUUAAGCUAAUCUCUUAAAACCAUUCUCAGUUCGGACUGUAGGCUGCAACUCGCCUACACGAAGUCGGAAUCGCUAGUAAUCGCGGAUCAGCAUGCCGCGGUGAAUACGUUCCCGGGCCUUGUACACACCGCCCGUCACACCAUGAGAGUUUGAACACCCAAAGCCGGUGGGGU